UCAUGAUAUUUCGAAUCGCAUGCUUAUGCCGGGAUGGUCAUCCAAAUUCUGCCUAUCACUUUCGAUGGUAGGAUAGAGGCUACAUGGGUGGGUAACGGGUACGGAGAUUGGGUCGAUUCCGGAGAGGGAGGCUGAGAAACGGCUACCACGUCCAGGAAGGGCAGCAGGCGCCGCAAAAUUUACCCAAUGCUGAUACAGCGAGGUAGCGACAAUAAAUAACAAUCCAGAACUUUCGAGUUUUGAAUUGGAAUGAGAACAAUUUAAAUCCCUUAACGAGGAUCAAUUGGAGGGCAAGUCUGGUGCCAGCAGCCCGCGGUAAUUCCAGCUCCAAUAGCGUAUAUUCAAGUUGUUGCAGUUAAAAAGCUCGUAGCUGAAUUUUUGGAUCUUGGCUCGGAGGUCUAGCCGUUAGGUUAGUAACUUUUGUAGUUGGAUCUUUCCUUCUAGGGAUCCAGCGUGCGCUUUACUGAGUGCGUUGGGGAUCUAGGGACUGUUACUUUGAAAAAAUUAGAGUGUUUAAAAACAGGCUUACGCUUGAAUACAUUAGCAUGGAAUAAACGGGAAUAGGGACUUUUUUUCUUUUUUUUUAAA
This 588-nucleotide ribosomal RNA is filed under the name uncultured fungus. Its description in RNAcentral is "partial 18S small subunit ribosomal RNA". It matches the Rfam family "Eukaryotic small subunit ribosomal RNA", at positions 254 to 851 of the family's 1831-position model. Lineage: Eukaryota; Fungi. The record is from RNAcentral.